This 491-nucleotide ribosomal RNA is filed under the name uncultured bacterium. RNAcentral describes it as "partial 16S ribosomal RNA". It matches the Rfam family "Bacterial small subunit ribosomal RNA", at positions 29 to 506 of the family's 1533-position model. The record is from RNAcentral.
AGUGAACGCUGGCGGUAGGCCUAACACAUGCAAGUCGAACGGCAGCACAGUAAGAGCUUGCUCUUACGGGUGGCGAGUGGCGGACGGGUGAGGAAUACAUCGGAAUCUACUUUUUCAUGGGGGAUAACGUAGGGAAACUUACGCUAAUACCGCAUACGACCUACGGGUGAAAGCAGGGGAUCUUCGGACCUUGCGCGAUUGAAUGAGCCGAUGUCGGAUUAGCUAGUUGGCGGGGUAAAGGCCCACCAAGGCGACGAUCCGUAGCUGGUCUGAGAGGAUGAUCAGCCACACUGGAACUGAGACACGGUCCAGACUCCUACGGGAGGCAGCAGUGGGGAAUAUUGGACAAUGGGCGCAAGCCUGAUCCAGCCAUACCGCGUGGGUGAAGAAGGCCUUCGGGUUGUAAAGCCCUUUUGUUGGGAAAGAAAAGCAGCAGGUUAAUACCCCGCUGUUCUGACGGGACCCAAAGAAUAAACACCGGCUAACUUCGU